CGGGGCGUAGCUCAGCCUGGCUAGAGCGCUUGGUUCGGGACCAAGAGGUCGCUGGUUCAAAUCCAGUCGCCCCGA
RNAcentral lists this transfer RNA (75 nucleotides) under Thermogutta sp. Its description in RNAcentral is "tRNA-Pro". It matches the Rfam family "tRNA". From Rfam's summary of the family: Transfer RNA (tRNA) molecules are approximately 80 nucleotides in length. Their secondary structure includes four short double-helical elements and three loops (D, anti-codon, and T loops). The record is from RNAcentral. Lineage: Bacteria; Pseudomonadati; Planctomycetota; Planctomycetia; Pirellulales; Thermoguttaceae. RNAcentral also lists the same sequence under 5 other names.